AUGCCCAGGCCAUCCUCCAAGACACCCUCCUCCACGUCCCAGUCCAGGAGGGCCUCCCCUUCGCCCACCCCUUCCCCGGCCACCGCGCCCAGGCCCAAGAACCCCGGCGCCGCGGCGCAGCGCCGCCGCAGCCCCCUGUCGGACCUCAACUCCGGGGACGCCUCCGCCGCGCGGGCCGGAUGCUUCCGCUUCCUCCUCUCCUCCGCCUCGGGCUCCAAGCCGCGGUGCGCGUCCACCCCGAGGACCCCCGCGUCCGGCCCGAUGCCCCGCGCGGAGGCCAAGAGGCUCGUGGCGGGUGCCGGCCGUCUGCCGGAUCAGGAGUCUAGGGCCAGGGCGGAGCAGGGGCCGGGUCGUGAACCCAGAAGACGGAGGGACGAGCCGAUCGGUUGUCGGAUCAGGAGGGUGGAGCCGGAGAAGAAGCAGCAGGGGCUGGCGAGGAGGCAGCAGCAGGAGCACCUCGAGGCCCUGACGCCGGAGAGGAAGGCGGACGCGGGCUCCAACCCGUCCUCUGGAGCGACGCCCCCGAUCCACGCGUCGAUCUCGCCGGAGGUGCUGGCCGGCGGCGCCGCGACGCCGGCGUGCUUCGCGGCCGGGCACCACGUCGUGCCAGGCGUCCGCGACCGGCGCAAGUGCCGGGCGAGGGGCAUCCUUGACAUCGCCGGCGAGGGCACCAGCGAGGAGCUCGACUGUGAGCCGUCCCGGGCGUCGAUCCACUGGCUGUCCUCGCCAUCGGGCGAGGCCGGGACGUGUUCGACGAAAUGCGGAAAGGAGGCGUCAGUCAUCUGGCUGUCAUCUCCACGCGAUGAAGGUGCGGCGUGUUUGUUCGACGAAGAGAUCUUCCUGCCGAGAUGCUCAUCGGAGGACCCAUUCUGGCAACUCUCCCCGGACUGCACGGGGUUGCUGGGGUCGCCGGUCCUCGGAGGUCUGCUGGAUUUUGACACGCCGGCAUCGGAAUUGUCCGAAACGACACCGUCAUCUGGAUUUCUUCCGGUGCAGAGGACACCGAGCACUGGUGACAGCAUUAGCCCCUUCUCGCUUAUUGUGAAGAGGGCAUCAUCGCAUUCCUCUAGGCUAAGCUCCUUGUGUGCCCAACGAGGACUGGGCAGCAGCUAUGGCUACGAUUCGGCAACAGAUCCGACACGGGUCUCUGGUGAGUCAUGGUCGGAAAAUGGCAGCACAGGCAAGUGCUCAGGGUUAGCGAGGGUUAGCAGUCGCCCACUAACAAGGAUGGAUCCGGUGGUAGAAUGCCUCGAGAUGAUGAGUUUGUCCCCAAGGCCCGGGGAUGCUGAUUAUGAUCAAAAUGAUGAAGAUGGUGCCCUGCCUGCUACAUUGCCUGAGCUCAGCUUCCAGUUUGCUGGUGCUUCGACACCUCUGGAAUCCAUAGACUUGAGCUCUUUCAAGAGAUCUCCUUGCGACACAGAAUUGAAGGGGAAGGAGGCAAGUUUCCGGAAGCCGGCAUCAACCGAGGCUCGGAUAUCUUGGCGAGAAGGGCUAGUUAGCAGAAUAUUCGAUAUGGGUGACUUGGAUUGCUGCCAAUGGUUGUCUGAUGAUGAAGAUGGACCACUUAUCCCGGGCAAUGUCGAGGCGUUGCCCGAUACAACUCUUCAGCCAGUUAACGCUUGUUGCCUGCAAGAGGAUAGCAAGCAAUCUGGGUUCGGGUCAGUCGAGUUUGGUUGCAGUGGUGGUGGAUUAAAUUAUGACAGUAGUAAGGCCACUCCAAGCCCUGUUCAAGUGGCAGAGUCUAUGAGAGCAGAAGGAUUCGAGCUCGUCUCGUCCGAUGACUCGGAUUGGACUCUCUUGUACAAGAAUGGCUUGUUUGAAACAUGA
Molecule: ribosomal RNA, 1827 nt
Filed under: Triticum aestivum (bread wheat)
Lineage: Eukaryota; Viridiplantae; Streptophyta; Magnoliopsida; Poales; Poaceae
Description: partial small subunit ribosomal RNA
Source: RNAcentral